Balaenoptera musculus (blue whale) is the source of this 394-nucleotide long non-coding RNA. RefSeq lists it as uncharacterized. The record is from RefSeq and is a predicted model, not a curated record. Lineage: Eukaryota; Metazoa; Chordata; Mammalia; Artiodactyla; Balaenopteridae. The transcript is spliced from 2 exons.
GAGGCGCCACACCCUGCCCCGGGCAGCCAUCGUGCUGGAACAUCACCGGCCAGGUCAGCACUGGCGGCUGGGAGAAGGGUCCAAGGCUGAGGUACAGCCAACAAUUUUCGCAACUCUGGCGAAAUCAGCAAAGUGGGCAGUGCAGGUUGGCUGGACGUCUGCCCCCAACACAUGUGCACUCCGUGCACCCCUCCCUGCGGGGGGCACCCCUAACGAUUGGUCCUCGCCUCUACCCGCCCGGCCGGCACGCAGGACAGACCACCUUCCAGCUGUGCCUGCUCUCGCUCGCCACCCUCUGCCGGGGUGUGUCCCGGGCCCCUGCGCUCCUCCCCGCCUCCCUUGACUCAGACUGGGCUACCGUGGAGAAUGUUAAUAAAAUGAAGUUUGGGGUUUU